This 60-nucleotide microRNA precursor is filed under the name Scyliorhinus torazame (cloudy catshark). RNAcentral's name for it is "Sto-Mir-139_pre stem-loop". It matches the Rfam family "mir-139 microRNA precursor family", at positions 7 to 65 of the family's 68-position model. Lineage: Eukaryota; Metazoa; Chordata; Chondrichthyes; Carcharhiniformes; Scyliorhinidae. The record is from RNAcentral.
UCUACAGUGCAUGUGUCUCCAGUGUUACACAGGCAACUGGGGAUGCAGCUCUGUUGGAAU